UAGUCCACGCCGUAAACGAUGUCAACUAGCCGUUGGGCUCUUUAAGGGCUUAGUGGCGCAGCUAACGCGGUAAGUUGACCGCCUGGGGAGUACGCCGGCAACGGUAAAACUCAAAGAAAUUGACGGGGGCCCGCACAAGCGGUGGAGCAUGUGGUUUAAUUCGAUGCAACGCGAAGAACCUUACCACCCCUUGACAUCCUGCGAACUUUCUAGAGAUAGAUUGGUGCCUUCGGGAACGCAGUGACAGGUGCUGCAUGGCUGUCGUCAGCUCGUGUCGUGAGAUGUUGGGUUAAGUCCCGUAACGAGCGCAACCCUUGUCCUUAUUUGCCAGCACAUUAUGGUGGGAACUCUAAGGAGACUGACGGUGACAAACCGUAGGAAGGUGGGGACGACGUCAAGUCAUCAUGGCCCUUACGGGGGUGGGGCUACAAACGUGCUACAAUGGGGAAGUACAAAGGGGCUGCGAACUGGGCAACAGUGAGCGAAUCCCAAAAAACUUCU
Molecule: ribosomal RNA, 501 nt
Filed under: uncultured bacterium
Lineage: Bacteria
Description: bacterial SSU rRNA
Rfam family: Bacterial small subunit ribosomal RNA
Source: RNAcentral